This 313-nucleotide unclassified non-coding RNA is filed under the name plant metagenome. RNAcentral's name for it is "partial contains 5.8S ribosomal RNA, internal transcribed spacer 2, and large subunit ribosomal RNA". The stretch from base 1 to 104 matches the Rfam family "5.8S ribosomal RNA", at positions 51 to 154 of the family's 154-position model. The record is from RNAcentral.
AAAUGCGAUAAUUAAUGUGAAUUGCAGAAUUCAGUGAAUCAUCGAGUCUUUGAACGCACAUUGCGCCCCCCGGUAUUCCGGGGGGCAUGCCUGUCCGAGCGUCAUUGCUGCCCUCAAGCACGGCUUGUGUGUUGGGCUUCCGUCCCUGGCAACGGGGACGGGCCCAAAAGGCAGUGGCGGCACCAUGUCUGGUCCUCGAGCGUAUGGGGCUUUGUCACCCGCUCCCGUAGGUCCAGCUGGCAGCUAGCCUCGCAACCAAUCUUUUUAACCAGGUUGACCUCGGAUCAGGUAGGGAUACCCGCUGAACUUAAGC